CCUGUUCUGUCUGUGUUCUGCUCUGCUUUGUUUGCAACCUUUGCCUGUGAGUUAGAUUUGCAAAGUGCUGUAUAAAUAUAGAGCUAUAUUAAAAAAUCUUGUAGUCUUCUGUUCUUGAGAUAGAAAUACAUGUUGCUGAAGAUAUUUAUAAUCACUGAUCUGUAAUAUGUUAAUCUUUCCAUUUGCCUGUUACUAGCAACAAGCUGGGCAUUUUAUUAUAGUGCAGGCACACCUGAAAGCUGUCUUUAUCCCAGUUAAAAGCUGCUGUGAUUGCAGUUGUGUGCUCUGACAGUGGCAGGACGAUGGGAUGCUCUCUUGCUGCCCAGAGGAGUUGGAAAGGUAUGACUAACCACGGGGGUGUCCGGGGAGGAGGCAAUAAACAAACUUCAGCAUAGAUCCAGGCUGCAGUGGUGGUGUUCUGGCCACCACAAGCCAUCACAGGCGCUGGUGACAGCACAGUUAUCUCAACAGGCUUCAGAGCUCACCUGGGAAGGUGCAGGCAGCAGUUUGCUCUGUGUGUGGUUUAUGUGCUGCUGUAGCUAAACUGCUGGCAAACCACCUUUGCUCUGCCCUCAUACUCCACUUCAGCCACACCAGCAAAGUCCCACCCUUGUGUGUGUGUUCUUUCAGAGGGAGAGCUAUAAUUAUAGCUCGCAAAGUGAAAAUAUUUGUGUGUAUUGUAAAUAUGGUGCCGAGUCUGCUUUGUUCACGCCUGACACCAGGAGGUAUGGACGCUUAGCACAGUCCCUUUGCUGUGCCAUUCUGCCUGAGUGUUGCCCUCCCAGCAAGCAAAGAGGCAGUUUGGACAUGCAGCUCCUCUUUACAUGCUUUGCCAUGAACACGUGGAACCUGCAAGCUCUUCUCUAGGUAAAAGCCGAUUAAAAAUGAGCAAAGCAAUACUCUCUGAAGCCCUCGCUGUGGAUUUUGGACAGCAAGAGGUGUUCACUCUUAGUGAAGCGAAUGGUGGGAUUCUCUGGAUCAAACUUGAAUGAGUUUGUGGGUUUUUUAAAGGAGUUUUUAGCUAAAGUUGUGUCACUGAGGAAGAGUUGCAGGUGGCUGCUUGGCAUCCUCAGGAUCCCUUUUUGUUCCGGACGGUGUCGUAAGAAACAUGGCAGAUUUGAAAUGUCUCAUUCUUUUUAAUGUGCUCUGUAGGAGGAGUCUGGGAAUAGAGAGGUGUGUGUGAGAGAGUUUGAGCUCUUCUCACCCUGGGAUCACAGCAUAUUGCUCUGGGGCCAUUUCAAUUGUCAAACACAGAGCAUGGUGAGGGGAGGCAGCUGGAGCCGGGGAAGUUGGAGGGACCUCGAGUCUGUUCUUGACUCUGCAGUGUGAUGUGCAACCCUGUUGGGUCAGUUGUCCUCUUCCCCUCAGCUCUAGGCUUUUCUUUCCCUACCUCUUCGUGAGGAUAAAAGGUGAAGCUUGUUCACUUGUGAAAUUUUUAGACUUGGGUGGACUUAAUCCAAAACCAAGCGAUGGCUUUUUGACCGGGUUAGGAGAACUUCUUGUCUGAGAGUCACUUCUGAUUUUAGUUCUGGCUUUCUGGAAAACCUGCGUCUUAACAUUUUAAAUGGCAAAGAUUUGCCAUGUUUAAAUACGGAGUUUUUUAAAGUUUAGGGCUUAAAGAGUGAAUUCUUUUGUUGUUUCCUUUCUGUGAGUGCAAGUUGGAGCAGGCUGAAAGGUUUGCUGCUGCUUGCAAGCAUGGGAUGCUUCACUUCAUUACAGCUAAUGACCUUGCAUUGUGCUGAAUGCCAUUGAUCCUGCAUGUCAUUAUUUUGAUGCAGGAGAGCUCAGCCAGGCUGUGUCAGAGCAGUUGCUACGUUCAGUGAUACAAGUUCCCUACCUCAAAUCUAAGUAACGUGGUACCCAGCAGAAUAUUUAAGUGAAAUUAGCUGUAAGGUGAUGGUAUUCAAAAUGCAUUCUGAAAUUCUGAGUAAAUUCUUUCUCAGAUGGCCUUUUGAAAAGGAAAUGAAAGCAUGUGAAGUUCCUCUGCCCGUAGGAAAGGUACCGAACAGCACCUACGAUGAAGCUCCCAACUGCUGCCGCAGUGUCAGUGCUCCUCUGGGAACAGCCUCUUCACAUCUGGAAACUGCCAGUUCUGCAUGCAAAUAUUAGGAUGUAGUUUCUUUUUUCUGCAGGAAGCUUGUUUACACCUGCCACAGUCCUCCUCUUUGCUCUUCCUUUGCUCCUUUCGCUGGAGCUGCAGCAGUUGAGACUGCAGAAUGUCCUUUCAUUCCCCAGCAUCCUUGGUGUGGGACGGGGACGUGACUGCAAUAGAACAGCUGGGGAGGGCUGUGAGACCUGCUUGGAGAGCUUGGCCAGAUGUGGACAGCUCAAGGAGGAGAUGAUACAAUUCAGCUUGGGGAAGACUCAAGUGCAGUGGGUUAUUAUUUCUACUUCUGGUUUUUUGACUGUUCAUUUUGGGGUUUAGAGAGCAGCUCUUGGAACGCCUCCCUGCACGUACAGAUGCAAGUCCCCUCUCUGUUACUCUUAGCACUUGCUGCAGGGUUUGCCAGGCUUGUGCUUUCAGCCCUGCUGCAGGUGGUUAAACCAUGGUCUCCUGAGGGGUUGGACAUUCUCAGACCACUAAAACCACAAGUGGCUUUUUGGAGGUGACCCACGCAAUGCAUGAGCUGGUGGGUUCAUGCUGCAGCAGAAGAAUGCGGGGAAGCCAAGGCGAGGGGAGGUGCUAGGACAGGAGGAUUUGCAAAGCUGCUGUUGCAAGCGUUGUGCUCAGCCUGCUCUCUGGUGGUAGCUGCUGGAGCAGAGAUGACCUUUGAUGAAACGUGAAGCACUUGGUUUGAUUUGGAUAGUUGUGGUUGCUCAGCUUCAUACAGCUACAGUUUAGAGUUGUCAACUCAUCUGCUCUUGCUUUUGUUCCCUUAUCCCAUGCAAGAUUCACAGGUUAAAAAUCAUAUCACAGCAGCUUCAAAGCCAACAAAGCUUGUUUCUUCCCAGCAGCUCUGCUCACUGCAGGUUCUCCAGUGUCUGAUAAAGGCUGAGCUUUAUCGCUCUUUUCUUUCGGGCUGGGAAGACUAGUAUGAGAGCAGACAGAAGAGGCACCUGCUGGCACAAAAUGUGGAAGAAAUAAACAGCUUUGGGGUCUUCAGUCAAAUUUGGCUGAAAACAGCCAGCAGGAUCCAAAACUCUUGCUAGGACUGAGAUACAGAGAGGCACUUAAAGACCAUUUGAUUGUGAUCUCUUCUUACUGCCUCAGCUGGGCUGGAGCCUGCAGCAUGCAGGGCAGGCAGGAGAGCUCUGGCGGAGGUGGAGCAUCACUGCUGUGCUCUGGUCUGUGCUGGUGAACAUGGGGAUUCUCUUUCUUUAGAUCAGCUGGUGGCAACAGGCAAACUGUUUGUUUGGCUUUCUUGUGCGAAGCUGUUGUGAGGAAGGAGGUGCUUGGUAAAUCCUUCAAAGGAGGCAGGCCAGCCAUGCUUGGAGAGAGCCUGGGAGAGAUGGUUGUAAUGAGUGCUGCUGCUUUUCAGUCCUGAAAAUAGCCGAGGGGUGUUUGCUGUCGCAAGAGCGAUGGUGUUUGACACUUAUAGCUGGAAAGAAAAAAAGGAAGAAUGAGAGAAAUUGUUUUGGUUGUUGGGAUCCUGUCCUGUGUGUGCUGACAUCCCACUAGUAAAAGGUCAACUCCAUUUGUGUUUCCUAGAUCGACUGUCACUGUGUGGAUAUGUCUUCCAGCAGUAUUUGGUUGCUGUAUUUCUUAUCAGGAUUUGUUUUCACGAUACCUGAGGGAUGUGACAGUCAUACAUGUGGGAUCUUUGUGCUGGAGACACCUUCAGGACUGAAGUGCCUGUAGGACAUAGCACACAGGUGUGACCAUUUGCUGUUGAGGAUGGAGCUUUUCUGUUGGACAAGACCUAAUCAGGCAGCUUUGAGACUUCAGAGCAAGCACUUCUGUUGUAAUCCAUUUUCCAUCCCUUUGAGAGUGGAGCUAGGACAUCGUUUUAGCAUUUUAUGUAACUCUGUAUUUCUUGUUGCUAGUGAAGUAUUCAUUUUUGCCCAGAAACAUGAUAUAUGCUGUGUCUUUGAAUCCCAGUAUUUACGACUCUGAUGCUUAAAGGCAAUUUAAGGAGAUUUAAGGUUCUUUUUUUCCCAUGUGAAUUGCUGUGGUCUAGUCAAGACAACUUGUAGCAGCGACCACGUGGAAGUGUUGUCUUCCCACAAUUAGAGGUUAAGAGUUGACAGCAAAUGAGCCAGGGAUUAUAAUUAAAAACCAGGGUAAUUUGAGCAUGGUGAAAACUAAGGAAUAAAACCUCAUGGUGGAAUGCAGCUUGUCAGUAUGAGGACAGCAAAUAAGAGAUAAUGUAUCUUGCAGUGAAACACGUUUGGAUUGUGUGUGUUUUGCUGAGCAUGGGAGCAAUUCCCCCUAUUGCAUAGGAGCUGAGGGUUUUGUUCAGUUGGUACUGAUGCUCUUUUGGAAAGCUUUUACCUCUCUGUUUCCUGAGGUCUGACAUGGAAGAGAAAAGCUUCAGUAGGCACCAGCUGCUCAGUGGGCCCUUUCUUUUCAGAGCAA
Molecule: long non-coding RNA, 4516 nt
Organism: Strigops habroptila (Kakapo)
Lineage: Eukaryota; Metazoa; Chordata; Aves; Psittaciformes; Psittacidae
Exons: 2
Source: RefSeq, a predicted model, not a curated record